UUCCGCUACAUGUAUUCCGUGUA
Molecule: non-coding RNA, 23 nt
Filed under: Arabidopsis thaliana (thale cress)
Lineage: Eukaryota; Viridiplantae; Streptophyta; Magnoliopsida; Brassicales; Brassicaceae
Source: RNAcentral